UACGGAGGGUGCAAGCGUUAAUCGGAAUUACUGGGCGUAAAGCGCGCGUAGGCGGUUCGAUAAGUCGGGUGUGAAAGCCCUGGGCUCAACCUGGGAAUGCCAUUCGAUACUGUCGAGCUAGAGUAUGGUAGAGGAAAGCGGAAUUCCACAUGUAGCGGUGAAAUGCGUAGAUAUGUGGAGGAACAUCAGUGGCGAAGGCGGCUUUCUGGACUAAUACUGACGCUGAGGUGCGAAAGCGUGGGGAGCAAAC
Molecule: ribosomal RNA, 250 nt
Filed under: uncultured bacterium
Lineage: Bacteria
Description: partial 16S ribosomal RNA
Rfam family: Bacterial small subunit ribosomal RNA
Source: RNAcentral